GUUACAGAGGAAGACAUGGAGGCCUAGAGAGGUUGGGGGCUUCGCUGGGGGUCACGUGGCACUUCCAGGUGGAAGCUGGAUACAAGAGUCUGGUCCAGGCCUGUUUCCACAAUCUCGUGAAACAACUCACUUUCUCAGAAGCCAAACAGCAUUUCAACUCUGUAUAUUUAACUCUCGACUAUGUUGCCAGCAAAGGUCCCAGAGGAAAGAGUAAGGCAUAUAGCCAGGGAGGAUGCAGCUACCACCCGCCUAGAUCAUAUUAUCUCAGAAAGAAGAAAGUCCCCUUGGCAGAAUUCAGACAUCUAGCAACAAUCCUGGCUGUAAACAUUUGUCGAAACAGUCAACAGGACAAAGAAAACGCUCCUGUGAGAACAGUAACCAGAUCUUAGGGCUCUGGUCUUUGAAGUUUGAAAUAUUUCCCCAGAACUGCCACAUUCUUCUUUCUCUCCCACCCCACUGGAAGAUCACGCAAAUCAAUUCCAAUUUCUCUAUUCCUCUACUCAUUAUGGAUUAAGAGAAGAAGAAAGCAAAAACGAGAAAAAGAGGAAGAGAGAAGACAAGAAGGGGAGGAAGCUCUGGAGAAUUAAAAUUUGGGUUGAGAAUAUAUGGUUAUUUUUAACUUUCUUAAGAGGGAAUAAACAAACAUAAACACA
RNAcentral lists this long non-coding RNA (653 nucleotides) under Equus caballus (horse). Its description in RNAcentral is "lncRNA (ENSECAG00000053332.1)". Lineage: Eukaryota; Metazoa; Chordata; Mammalia; Perissodactyla; Equidae. The record is from RNAcentral.